This 176-nucleotide small nucleolar RNA is filed under the name Microcebus murinus (gray mouse lemur). Lineage: Eukaryota; Metazoa; Chordata; Mammalia; Primates; Cheirogaleidae. The record is from RNAcentral.
AAGGUCUGUAAUCUUGGUGGGCAAUACAGAGUUAUGUGUGUUCACUGUAAGGGCAGACCAACAAGAACUUUUUCCUACUUUUUAGCCACCUCUUUUUAAUAGGAGUGAUUCUUCCAGUUGCCAGGGAGAAAUUGUGGUAACUGGAGUGAGAGAGUGGGAACAGGGCAUGUUAAAAG